CGAUGAAACCGCCCUCGGGCGGACAUGAAGUGGCGAACGGGUGAGUAACACGUAUCCAACCUGCCCUUUACUCGGGGAUAGCCUUUCGAAAGAAAGAUUAAUACCCGAUAGUAUAAUGAUUCCGCAUGGUUUCAUUAUUAAAGGAUUCCGGUAAAGGAUGGGGAUGCGUUCCAUUAGGUUGUUGGCGGGGUAACGGCCCACCAAGCCUUCGAUGGAUAGGGGUUCUGAGAGGAAGGUCCCCCACAUUGGAACUGAGACACGGUCCAAACUCCUACGGGAGGCAGCAUG
Molecule: ribosomal RNA, 288 nt
Filed under: uncultured bacterium
Lineage: Bacteria
Description: partial 16S ribosomal RNA
Rfam family: Bacterial small subunit ribosomal RNA
Source: RNAcentral